RNAcentral lists this unclassified non-coding RNA (98 nucleotides) under Trypanosoma rangeli. The record is from RNAcentral. Lineage: Eukaryota; Euglenozoa; Kinetoplastea; Trypanosomatida; Trypanosomatidae.
GUGGACCCGUCCGCAUCCUAUUGUGAUCCCCAUCUUCGCAAAACACCGGGCAGGGGCGGGAGGGAUCGCUUUCAACUAACGCUAUUAUUGAUACAGUU